RNAcentral lists this ribosomal RNA (253 nucleotides) under uncultured bacterium. Its description in RNAcentral is "partial 16S ribosomal RNA". It matches the Rfam family "Bacterial small subunit ribosomal RNA", at positions 524 to 776 of the family's 1533-position model. The record is from RNAcentral.
UACAGAGAGGGCAAGCGUUGUUCGGAAUUACUGGGCGUAAAGCGCACGUAGGCGGACUUUUAAGUCAGGUGUGAAAUCCCGGGGCUCAACCUCGGAACUGCAUUUGAAACUGGAAGUCUUGAGAUCAGGAGAGGUUAGCGGAAUACCGAGUGUAGAGGUGAAAUUCGUAGAUAUUCGGUGGAACACCAGUGGCGAAGGCGGCUAACUGGACUGAUACUGACGCUGAGGUGCGAAAGUGUGGGGAGCAAACAGG